CCCCGCCACUUUCUGAGAUUCCCUGGGGAAAUUGUGGCAAUAAGAAGCAGACAUUCCAGAUUUUAAAGCCAAGUGUUCCUAAGGGCCAUCUCUUCUCCAUGUUCUUUUUACCAGUCAUAUCCUCCUCUUUAUGUAAGGUCAGGGGGAACAAUGGUCCCAGCCUUUUCGAAGAAUCGGCCCCUAAGUGCUGCCUGGCGGCAUCUGUGCACAUGUUCUGGCCACUGACCUGAGAAGUGCAAUGUGUUUCUCAAGUGCCAUAUCAGCCAGAAGGCAGAUUUUCCAGUUGGAAGGCAUUCAGACCACUGCAGAGGUGGUAUAAUGAAGUGAAAGGAAGAAGAGAGUGGAUAGCCAGAAAGUUUGGAAAUCACUCCGACUACACUAAAGGAACACUUUGGGUUCCAAAUGAGAUGUUUCCCUCAGGAUGACUUUUGCCAUAAGGGUGUGACCUUACCACCACCCUUGUCAUUGGGUGAAUGGAUUGAACCCUGUGACUGAACCUGACUGAGGAGAUUCCUUUCCGGUUCAUGACCCUAAUCUUGGAGAUGAAGAGUCUUUAAUCAUAGUUCCUUGAGUAACUGAAGAGCCGGAGGUAUCAGAGUGAGACAACGGGGUGGAGGGCUUGAUCCUCAUUUUAUCAAACAAUUCAGAGUAGACCUUCAUUCUAGAAGUUGUUACAAGAUAGCAUUUUUGGUAAAAGAAAAUAAUUUCCUCCCCAGUCCAUUGUCUUGUGCUACCCCGUAUUCCUGAUCCAUUGAAAAAAAACCUGUCUAGGCCACCAGAGGACAAGCCUAUGUCUAUGUACAGUAGAGGCAAGUUCAUUCCUCCUUCUUCCAGAAAGCAUUUGACACAGUACAAAUAAUAACAAGAGGCACCCUCAGUGACAAAUUUUUCCCCCAGCAGUGAUAAUAUCUUUGCUGUGUUGUCCCCGGAACUCUGAAAAUAAUCCUGAGGGUCUCAAGCAGGUCUUUUCACAGAAGCUGAAAGCUGAGAGUCUCAAGUGUAAUUCUGAAGGUUGCUAUAAGAAGUGGCAUUGAUGGAAGAUCCACAGGACACUUUUCAUAGGGCAGCUAGAGGAGAUUGUUAAAUCCAGGACUGUGAAGAAAAGGGUUUCAAUUCUGAGCCUUCCAAGCAAGUUUUAAGGAAAGUGACUGUUCAUCCUUUACUGAUUACAAAUGAAGGAGACGAAGCCAUGCUUGCCUCAGAAUCCUCUUCUUGCAUUGAUUUGUACUUAGGGAUGAGGGUGGUAAUUGGGGGAGGGAGACCAAAGCUUCUUGUUUCUUAGUUGUACGUAAUGCUUGCUCAGGAAAUAUGAGCAAAUGUCUCACAAUCUUUAUCAUCAUGUAUUUAUUGUCUUUCUGGUUGACUGUACAGAGACUAUCAUAUCUACAAAAAUAAAAUGAUGCCUCUGUG
This is a long non-coding RNA of Marmota monax (woodchuck), 1410 nucleotides long. RefSeq lists it as uncharacterized. NCBI's taxonomy places the organism in Eukaryota, Metazoa, Chordata, Mammalia, Rodentia, Sciuridae. The transcript has 3 exons. The record is from RefSeq and is a predicted model, not a curated record.